CUUUACUGUAGGCUGAUAUUGGGUUGAGGUACGUUUUGUGUAGGAUAGGUGGGAGGCUGUGAACCGGUAGCGCCAGCUAUCGGGGAGCCAACGUUGAAAUACCACCCUGAAUGUGCUUUAAUUCUAACCCCAUCCCGUGAAUCCGGGUGGGGAACAGUGUCAGUUGGGCAGUUUGACUGGGGCGGUCUCCUCCAAAAAAGUAACGGAGGAGUCCAAAGGUACCCUCAGCCUGGUUGGCAAUCAGGCGCCGAGCGCAAAGGUAGAAGGGUGCUUAACUGCGAGAUCCAUCAAUCGAGCAGAUACGAAAGUAGGGCUUAGUGAUCCGGUGAUUCCGUAUGGAAGGGUCAUCGCUCAUCAGAUAAAAGGUA
RNAcentral lists this ribosomal RNA (368 nucleotides) under uncultured organism. Its description in RNAcentral is "bacterial LSU rRNA". It matches the Rfam family "Bacterial large subunit ribosomal RNA", at positions 2099 to 2465 of the family's 2925-position model. The record is from RNAcentral.